GUCGCUGCAAAAUCAGCGACCGGGUUUGGCGACCCGAGUUCAUGCAGGCGCACAGGCGCCCCCAUUACGAUUGCAGGCGCUUUUUUU
This 87-nucleotide small RNA is filed under the name Testudinibacter aquarius. The record is from RNAcentral. Lineage: Bacteria; Pseudomonadati; Pseudomonadota; Gammaproteobacteria; Pasteurellales; Pasteurellaceae.